AAAUUACCUUCAACUUCAUCGUCGGGAAUUUCUUGAGUCAAAGCUAUUUAUAUAUAUGGAAUAUCAAAGGAUUGAAAAAAGAGGACGGCGUGAUGACGGGAGUACCCGAGAAAAUUACGGGCGGCGGAGUUGUUGUUAAACUGGACUGGACUAUCUGCGGCAGCGGUUGUGAGUUGGAGUUGUUGGAUGAGUGAGAAGAUUGUUUGGGUCGUUUACCCUUCCGGCAGCCGCCGCCGACGGGGACGUUACGGAGAGUACCACCUUGAGUCCAGUACCUUCUACAAGUCUUGCAAAGAUAACGAGGCUGAGAUAAGCUGUAGUUAUUGUAAUAACAAAACUUUGUGUUGAGAGAAUCACAACGAGGGCAUUUUUGUGGCUGUGGCUGAGCUUGAUUUUGCGCUUGUAGAGCCUUCAAUCUCCGAUCUUGAUCAUCUCGCCCACGCUGCAUCUCCCAACCAAUCGAUUUGCAACAAAAAGGGGUUUUUGGGAUAUUAGAGAAAUACUAAAUGGAGAGCGUUUUAGGCUUCAAGAACUUCCCACUUCUCUGCAUGAAUCAGCUAGGGUUUGCUAACACAAGAUGGGGUUUUUAAUUUUAUUACGACAAAAAAAAAAAAAAAAAAAAAAAAAAA
Cucurbita pepo subsp. pepo (vegetable marrow) is the source of this 629-nucleotide non-coding RNA. NCBI's taxonomy places the organism in Eukaryota, Viridiplantae, Streptophyta, Magnoliopsida, Cucurbitales, Cucurbitaceae. The record is from RefSeq and is a predicted model, not a curated record.